RNAcentral lists this long non-coding RNA (1340 nucleotides) under Coturnix japonica (Japanese quail). RNAcentral describes it as "lncRNA (ENSCJPG00005003684.1)". Lineage: Eukaryota; Metazoa; Chordata; Aves; Galliformes; Phasianidae. The record is from RNAcentral.
CACCAAGCCAGGGAGCAAAUAGAGUUGGGUUGCAUUUGAAAUAAGGCUGAUGCAAAAAAAAAUCUGCAUAAUAGCAUGUAAAAAAAUGUGACGUGAAACUAAAUAUAGUGCGGUGCUGCUUUGCCAACCUCUGGUUAAUCAAAGUUAACUGCAUUAUAAUGUAGUGUGUGUUGUCUCACUGCCUAUCACAUUUUCAUUCUUCCAAACGGUUUCUGUGUUUGUGAAACGUGGCUCUGCAAACGUCAGAAAACAAAAUCCCAGCGGUGCAAUCCUUUGCAUCACUCGCUUUUGUCCUGAUUAAAAACAAAUAGUAGGAAUAAGUUUUAAUUCUUUAAGUGUCACUUUGUGUCUUUUCAGAACAAACCGUGCUGAAAAGGCUGGGAAACACCCAUUGCCAGUGCAUUGGAUAAGGAUGGAUUUGUUUGCCUGGUCUGGAGCAGAGAUAGAAAUUACUUUCAUCCAAAACCCAAUUUCUAUAGAAAGAAAGGAAGUUUUCAAGUACUUGUCGUCCUGCUCUAUUUAAUCAGAAAUACUUUGAGUCUGUAAGAGGAGUGUUGGUGUCUGAGCGUCAGCUGCUCCUACAGGAAAACCAGAAAAGAAUGAUGCUCCAAUGUUUUCCUUCAUUAUUUUUUCAGCUCCUACCUGCCAAGUUCCCUGGCUCCAAUCUGUGACAUGGGGUGUGCACAUACAUCACAGGCAGCGAGGCUGCGGAGCGUCGACGAGAUCAAAUGAAAGUGUAGAAAUGCGGCUGGGAGGCAAAAUGAAAUCAUAUAUAUUCAUUACAUUCAUUUAGUGAUGUUAAGCCUCCCGGUGCCCAUAACACUCUGAACGUGCUGUCACCAUUCACCUAGAGAGAAAGCAGCCACCUCUGCAGACAGCGUGGACGAUGCCCAGAGCAUGGACACAGGAGAGGAGGGGAUGUGGUGGAUGCUGACAGAGAACACUCAUCUCUGCUGUAGCCCCAGAAUGGAGUUAUGCACCCUGGAAACUGGUUUUAAAAGAGAAAACCCAGCAGGUGGGAAGGAAGAGAUCGAACAGGGCACUUUAUCAUUCUUCCAUAAGCAAAUUCUUGGCCACAAUCUUUCCAGCUCCUGGUGCGGAGGCCUAACGUAACAAGACAGCACAGACCGAAAUCUUUCCUGCAUAAUUGUGUGCUUCACUGGCCUGACACCAGGAAUGAAUUUAGCUCACCCGAGGCUCAGCUGGAGAUGGGGUGGCUUUUGAGCAGCUUAUGCUCCGUCCCAGCGCAUCACCCGGCAUUGAUUGAUCGCUUUUUCUGCAGGCUCUGACAAGAGAGGUAUGAAAUUAUCAUUUAAGAAGCUUCUCAGAAAUGCUUUAAG